GGUUGCAAAGCUGAAACUUAAAGG
RNAcentral lists this non-coding RNA (24 nucleotides) under Drosophila erecta. RNAcentral also lists the same sequence under 9 other names. Lineage: Eukaryota; Metazoa; Arthropoda; Insecta; Diptera; Drosophilidae. The record is from RNAcentral.